AUUGAACGCUGGCGGCAUGCUUUACACAUGCAAGUCGGACGGCAGCACAGAGAAGCUUGCUUCUUGGGUGGCGAGUGGCGAACGGGUGAGUAAUAUAUCGGAACGUACCGAGCAGUGGGGGAUAACUAAUCGAAAGAUUAGCUAAUACCGCAUAUUUUCUGAGGAAGAAAGCAGGGGACCAUAUGGCCUUGCGCUGUUUGAGCGGCCGAUAUCUGAUUAGCUAGUUGGUGGGGUAAAGGCCUACCAAGGCGACGAUCAGUAGCGGGUCUGAGAGGAUGAUCCGCCACACUGGGACUGAGACACGGCCCAGACUCCUACGGGAGGCAGCAGUGGGGAAUUUUGGACAAUGGGCGCAAGCCUGAUCCAGCCAUGCCGCGUGUCUGAAGAAGGCCUUCGGGUUGUAAAGGACUUUUGUCAGGGAAGAAAAGGAUAGGGUUAAUACUCCCUGUCUGAUGAACGGUCCUGAAGAAUAAGCCCC
RNAcentral lists this ribosomal RNA (478 nucleotides) under Neisseria pharyngis. Its description in RNAcentral is "bacterial SSU rRNA". It matches the Rfam family "Bacterial small subunit ribosomal RNA", at positions 30 to 494 of the family's 1533-position model. Lineage: Bacteria; Pseudomonadati; Pseudomonadota; Betaproteobacteria; Neisseriales; Neisseriaceae. The record is from RNAcentral.